Molecule: long non-coding RNA, 428 nt
Filed under: Mytilus galloprovincialis (Mediterranean mussel)
Lineage: Eukaryota; Metazoa; Mollusca; Bivalvia; Mytilida; Mytilidae
Source: RNAcentral
GUGAUAAUGAACGCCAUACUAAUUUCCAAAUUGUACACAAGAAACUAAAAUUAAAAUAAUACAAGACUAACAAAGGCCAGAGGCUUCUGACUUGGGACAGGCGCAAAAAUGCGGCGGGGUUAAACAUGUUUGUGAGAUCUCAACCCUCCCCCUAUACCUCUAGCCAAUGUAGAAAAGUAAACGCAUAACAAUACGCACAUUAAAAUUCAGUUCAAGAGAAGUCCGAGUCUGAUGUCAGAAGAUGUAACCAAAGAAAAUAAACAAAAUGACAAUAAUACAUAAAUAACAACAGUCUACUAGCAGUUAACUGACAUGCCAGCUCCAGACUUCAAUUAAACUGACUGAAAGAUUAUGAUUUCAUCAUAUGAACAUCAGGCACAAUCCUUCCCGUUAGGGGUUUAGUAUCAUACAAUCAUAACAUAUAUGAG